Molecule: ribosomal RNA, 253 nt
Filed under: uncultured bacterium
Lineage: Bacteria
Description: partial 16S ribosomal RNA
Rfam family: Bacterial small subunit ribosomal RNA
Source: RNAcentral
UACGGAGGAUGCAAGCGUUAUCCGGAUUCAUUGGGUUUAAAGGGUGCGUAGGCGGCUUUUUAAGUCAGUGGUGAAAUCCUGUCGCUUAACGAUAGAAUUGCCAUUGAUACUGAAGAGCUUGAGUUCAGUUGAGGUAAGCGGAAUGUGUAGUGUAGCGGUGAAAUGCUUAGAUAUUACACAGAACACCAAUUGCGAAGGCAGCUUACUAAACUGUUACUGACGCUGAUGCACGAAAGCGUGGGGAGCGAACAGG